CUAGCCGCGAAGGCCCAAAUCAGUUUUUUAUCGAAUUAUUAGUAAGGGAAGGAGUUGCCGAAAUCCCUAAUUUUUCUUUCUUCACCAAAAUCCCCAAACCUAUUCGACCAGAACCAAAUCCCUAACCCUAAAUUCGUCCCGACGCCGUCUGCGAGCACUUCUGCGACGCCAUAGCCGCCAUGUGACCCGUGUCAAGAGUAGUAGGAGACGCUUCAGUGAAGAAAAGAGUACGGCCAUCCUCUCCAUUUCUUGUUCCACAACAACAAAAGCUGCAAGGCACUGGAGCAGAUCAAGUUAAUUUCUCAGCAGCCAAGAAGCAUUCUACCAUGCAAUGCAAGUCAUAGAGCAAAGCAGAUGUGUUUUGUUGUAGUAUAAGAAGUGGGUGAGGGAGAUGAGAGAUAUUUGAGAGAUCAUGACAAGUGUUUCAUAUGCGCACAAUAUUUUCAUCAUAACACUAGGAAAUAACUUGAGUGAAACUUUUAACAAAUGGAAUCAAAGGCCAUUCCUAUUUA
Molecule: long non-coding RNA, 512 nt
Organism: Prunus persica (peach)
Lineage: Eukaryota; Viridiplantae; Streptophyta; Magnoliopsida; Rosales; Rosaceae
Exons: 2
Source: RefSeq, a predicted model, not a curated record